Hirundo rustica (Barn swallow) is the source of this 2968-nucleotide long non-coding RNA. RefSeq lists it as uncharacterized. Lineage: Eukaryota; Metazoa; Chordata; Aves; Passeriformes; Hirundinidae. The transcript is spliced from 2 exons. The record is from RefSeq and is a predicted model, not a curated record.
ACCACCCUCCUCCUCUCUCCGCGCAAACUGGGGGUUCCCCCCUCCUCCCCUUCCCCGCCAGCCCGGCGCCGCUGCAUCCGAAGGGACGCUAGGCGGGCCAGGGCGAGGAGGUGCGGUCCAGCGCGGGACUGGAGAUGGCACCCCCGCCGCUCCUCCGGAUCGUCGCGGCAGCGCGGGGGCUUCUUCUUUCCGGAGCCUGCCUACAGCUGCAGUGAAGACGACAGCGGCAGCACACGGCCAAAUAUUUGGGAUGGUCUGCACGGGACCGCUCACCGCUGCAGCGCACGGUAUAAACACUGCAAAGAUGACUUGCUGCACUUUUCAUCAAGCAAAAGGACAAAUGAACGUGAUGAUUUUAUGAUCAGAAGCAGUUCCAAGAAACCCCAUUCUUGUGCAUACACACAGUGACCACCUUGAGGAAUACAAUGUGUAUGUCCACAGGUUCACCUACAAUGAAGGCCCAUGAAUGCUUCUUGCCAAACAUGACCUCCUCCCUCACCAAAGUCAAGGGCAGAGAGCACAGAGCAUGCUGGGCACAGUGGCCUGCCACUGCCCUUACUCCUGCAGAUCACUUCCAAGAAUGAAAAGAUACAAAGACAAAUCAAGUGAAAACAAGAAAAAUUGCAUAUUCUCCCCAGGACUGCCGCACUGCCUUCCUGGUCUGCCAAGACUUGGAAGCUGUCUUGACCUAAUGGAAAUAAGCGUGUUUUUCAGUAUAAGGACACACUGCAUUUAGCAAAUGCCAUCCCAGCUCACUUUGGACUGUUCCUUGCAUCCUGCUGUGCAUCAGCUGGCAGGUAAACAGCAAAGAUCAGUUCACCCUGUACAGUAAAUGAAUUAAUGUGCUUCCGAAAAAGUGCAGUGAGCAUAAUGUGAAUUAUGCUGGUGGUCAGAGAAAGCAUUUCUCCCCAAAAUGGACCCAAUUGACUCCCUCCUGAUGCAAGCUGCUAGGAGCAGGGAGCAAUUUAAUCAGCUUUCAGACCUGGUCACCCCAGCAGAUACUGUACCAUACCUACAAACCACAGUGACACAGCAGGUGACUUUAGCUGCUUCUUGCAGCAACUGCAAGAACAAUCUGUGACCGCACUCCAGAAGGAUGGAGCAGCUACAGGGAAUAAUCAUCUUCAGAUGUACCAGUCAGUCCUCGCACUCUGGCUCCCUCUUCACCUUAUCGCCACUUCCAAAAAUAGCUUGCAGAUUGUACAGAAAGGACGUGGACGAGGAGAUACUGUUCCUGGAACUCUGAAUUUCUACUUUAGCUGUCCUUGAGCCCUCCCCAAAAUAUUAGGCUUAUGCCAACUAUUUAUCCAGUGAGUGCAGCACACUCCAGCCAGUUGGAUAUUAGAGCUAUGAGCACAGAUAUUUGCUGCUUUAGCAGUCUAUUUCCCCACCAGCGAGUGUCUACACCUCUUCCUCAGCAUAGAUGGAAUAGCACAUCAUGGAUAGAGGAGAUAUGCUUUGCCAUAUCCCAGGCAUCAGAUGCUGGCAGAUAACCACUGCAGGACUCAGUUGUGGUACAUUGCUCAGAAGAACACACACAGGAUCCUUAAACUGAAAGGCCAAGAUAGUUCCAAGUUUGUGUACGCUAGGCUGGGCAAGGAGAGGAAAAAAAAUAGAAGAAAGAAACCACUCCUACCUUUUUCUUUUGAAAGAAUUAUGAUAAGUAAUGUAAUUCUCAUGUCUCAAUGAAAAACGUAUUUGCAAGUCAAGUUUGAAAGGAAAGUUUUUCUCCAGGGUGAUGUUACUUUUUUUCUCCCCCUUUGCCUUAAUAUGGCUCUAAAUAUCCAGUGGGGAUGCAGCUGGGUUCAAGGGCUGCAACAGAUGCCAGGUCUUACAUCACCGUUGCUGUCUCCCAGCUUGUUACUGGGUUAUCUAUUGUCAGAUGGGAAUUUAUUGAAGGUGACAUUGCUUACAAAUUGAUCAAAAUCAGCUUCAGUGAGGUGUCCUUCCAACAUAUAAAAAGAUGGAUAAAAUUCACUCAGUUGAUCAUUAAUAACUUCAGUCUGUGGAAUUGGUUAUCUCCCUUUGACAGAGGAAAUAGAGUUUGCAGAUUGAACAGUUUUAAUCCUAUCUGAGAAUAAUUAUGACAGCCCUUCAAAGAUACACCCAGUUACUAUGUCUGUACCUUUUCAAUAAAACUAAUUCAAGCAAAACCCUAGAUUUAUUUUACUGAACACCUGUGCAUACAAAACAGAGGUCACUAAACAGAAGAAGAAACAGUGAUAACGCUGUCAACUCAUCUAUCACAGAUAUUUUUUCUACUGGCCACAGGACUAGUUAUGUGGGAAUACUGUCCCAAGGGUAAAGCUCUGUGUUUUUGAAAACCUGCAUAGUGGAACAAGCAGAAGCCAUCAGAUCUGGGAGAGGUGGGUGUUUACUCUCAUGUGCUCUCACUGUCCAGCAUCAGGUGCAGUCCAGUGCAGGUGCUGUGAAUCCCAUGCACUGCCAGCGUGGGCUUUGGGUGAGCCCUGUCCAUGUGUUGGUUGGGAUAACCUGAUCCCUGUCACAGCAAUGGUCUCUGCUUCCAUGUCAGCCAUGUAGUGAGACCUCAGGAAAUGUCUGAGGGAAACCAGCCCUGAAACAACAAGCAAAUUUCCACACUCCUUCGAUGCCAGAUGGCAGAAGAGGAUGUGUCCAUGGAAACCCGGAUGGAUUAGGCGUACUUUCAAACUUCUCAGCACUGAAGUAGGCCACUGCAAUGUUCCUUUCUCCAAGGCCACUUUGACCCACACAUCAAGAGCUAUCUCCCUCUGCUGUCCCCACUUCAUGGGCAGGGAGCCAUAUAGCCAAACUCGAGGAGCUGGGCUGAGACGCUGCUUCCCCUAGACCUUUCCAUCCUCAUGGGCACACUGGUCUGGCUGGUUUCUUCAUCUCGAGCCUGUAGUACCUGUGAUAUGCUGAUUUUGCUUAGUGCACUGCAAGGUGCUCCUUUCCACGGUUGUGUGGGGAAUAAAUAAAUUUCUUUGCA